GACGAACGCUGGCGGCGUGCUUAACACAUGCAAGUCGAACGGAAAGGCCCUGCUUUUGUGGGGUGCUCGAGUGGCGAACGGGUGAGUAACACGUGAGUAACCUGCCCUUGACUUUGGGAUAACUUCAGGAAACUGGGGCUAAUACCGGAUAUGAGCUCCUGCUGCAUGGUGGGGGUUGGAAAGUUUCGGCGGUUGGGGAUGGACUCGCGGCUUAUCAGCUUGUUGGUGGGGUAGUGGCUUACCAAGGCUUUGACGGGUAGCCGGCCUGAGAGGGUGACCGGCCACAUGGGGACUGAGAUACGGACCAGACUCCUACGGGAGGCAGCAGGGGGGAAUAUUGCACAAUGGGCGGAAGCCUGAUGCAGCAACGCCGCGUGCGGGAUGACGGCCUUCGGGUUGUAAACCGCUUUCGCCUGUGACGAAGCGUGAGUGACGGUAAUGGGUAAAGAAGCACCGGCUAACUACGUG
RNAcentral lists this ribosomal RNA (468 nucleotides) under uncultured bacterium. RNAcentral's name for it is "partial 16S ribosomal RNA". It matches the Rfam family "Bacterial small subunit ribosomal RNA", at positions 28 to 507 of the family's 1533-position model. The record is from RNAcentral.